This 712-nucleotide ribosomal RNA is filed under the name uncultured bacterium. RNAcentral's name for it is "bacterial SSU rRNA". It matches the Rfam family "Bacterial small subunit ribosomal RNA", at positions 789 to 1501 of the family's 1533-position model. The record is from RNAcentral.
GGUAGUCCACGCCGUAAACGAUGUCGACUUGGAGGUUGUUCCCUUGAGGAGUGGCUUCCGGAGCUAACGCGUUAAGUCGACCGCCUGGGGAGUACGGCCGCAAGGUUAAAACUCAAAUGAAUUGACGGGGGCCCGCACAAGCGGUGGAGCAUGUGGUUUAAUUCGAUGCAACGCGAAGAACCUUACCUGGCCUUGACAUCCAGAGAACUUAGCAGAGAUGCUUUGGUGCCUUCGGGAACUCUGAGACAGGUGCUGCAUGGCUGUCGUCAGCUCGUGUUGUGAAAUGUUGGGUUAAGUCCCGCAACGAGCGCAACCCUUAUCCUUUGUUGCCAGCGAUUCGGUCGGGAACUCAAAGGAGACUGCCGGUGAUAAACCGGAGGAAGGUGGGGAUGACGUCAAGUCAUCAUGGCCCUUACGGCCAGGGCUACACACGUGCUACAAUGGCGUAUACAAAGAGAAGCGACCUCGCGAGAGCAAGCGGACCUCAUAAAGUACGUCGUAGUCCGGAUUGGAGUCUGCAACUCGACUCCAUGAAGUCGGAAUCGCUAGUAAUCGUGGAUCAGAAUGCCACGGUGAAUACGUUCCCGGGCCUUGUACACACCGCCCGUCACACCAUGGGAGUGGGUUGCAAAAGAAGUAGGUAGCUUAACCUUCGGGAGGGCGCUUACCACUUUGUGAUUCAUGACUGGGGUGAAGUCGUAACAAGGUAACC